GUGUGCCUUUGUAUGGAUUGUGUUCAGCGCCAGGGACAAGUUUCUUGUGUGGAUGGUGUUCAGCACCAAGGACAGAUGUAUUUGCUU
Molecule: microRNA precursor, 87 nt
Filed under: Branchiostoma floridae (Florida lancelet)
Lineage: Eukaryota; Metazoa; Chordata; Leptocardii; Amphioxiformes; Branchiostomatidae
Description: mir-2060 microRNA precursor family
Rfam family: mir-2060 microRNA precursor family
Source: Rfam by way of RNAcentral